GCGCCCGUAGCUCAGCGGAUUAGAGCACCAGGUUGCGGACUUGGGGGCCGCAGGUUCGAGUCCUGCCGGGCGCG
Molecule: transfer RNA, 74 nt
Filed under: Armatimonadota bacterium
Lineage: Bacteria; Bacillati; Armatimonadota
Description: Armatimonadetes bacterium (rhizosphere metagenome) tRNA-Arg
Rfam family: tRNA
About the family: Transfer RNA (tRNA) molecules are approximately 80 nucleotides in length.
Source: RNAcentral